Molecule: ribosomal RNA, 492 nt
Filed under: uncultured bacterium
Lineage: Bacteria
Description: partial 16S ribosomal RNA
Rfam family: Bacterial small subunit ribosomal RNA
Source: RNAcentral
AGUGAACGCUGGCGGUAGGCCUAACACAUGCAAGUCGAACGGCAGCACAGUAAGAGCUUGCUCUUACGGGUGGCGAGUGGCGGACGGGUGAGGAAUACAUCGGAAUCUACUUUUUCGUGGGGGAUAACGUAGGGAAACUUACGCUAAUACCGCAUACGACCUACGGGUGAAAGCAGGGGAUCUUCGGACCUUGCGCGAUUGAAUGAGCCGAUGUCGGAUUAGCUAGUUGGCGGGGUAAAGGCCCACCAAGGCGACGAUCCGUAGCUGGUCUGAGAGGAUGAUCAGCCACACUGGAACUGAGACACGGUCCAGACUCCUACGGGAGGCAGCAGUGGGGAAUAUUGGACAAAGGGCGCAAGCCUGAUCCAGCCAUACCGCGUGGGUGAAGAAGGCCUUCGGGUUGAAAAGCCCUUUUGUUGGGAAAGAAAAGCAGCAGGUUAAUACCCCGCUGUUCUGACGGUACCCAAAGAAUAAGCACCGGCUAACUUCGUG